Lolium perenne is the source of this 209-nucleotide non-coding RNA. Lineage: Eukaryota; Viridiplantae; Streptophyta; Magnoliopsida; Poales; Poaceae. The record is from RefSeq and is a predicted model, not a curated record.
AAGCCCUCAUAAUAGUUUGCUUUUCCUCUUUGCAGCUACUAUUUCAGUAAAAUAUUGAUGUGCUAAAACAGUAAUGUGGAGAGAAGUCGUUUCUCCAAUGAAAAAUAAUAGCUCAAGAAGGUGAUUUCAGAUCUUCCUUGUGAGGUACUUCAGAAGGUGCGUGGAAUUUUAUGAAAUGAUUUCCUAGGCAUCAACAAAAGUACUUUUGC